UGAUUGAUUUUGUAGCAAGUCUUGGCUUCUUGCCGAGUUGCCGUAGACGUACACGUAUUUAUUUAUUUAUUGAGAACGCUCAAGAAUCGACCUGUCGCCGUUUGUGUAGAAGCGGUGGAUCAAGCCGAUCGACCGCUAGGCUGGUGUCAGCCUUAUCUCUAAGGACAGUCCCUCGUUUCUAUCCCUUUCGCUUCCCCUCUGCUAAUCCAGUAGCCUGCCUCCCUGCCCUGCCUCUCUGCCUCCUCCAACCGCACUUGGAGAGGAGCUCUCCUCUGCGCCACGAGCCGCCUCAAGCAGGCUGCCAAGCCCGGCUGGCGCCCUCUCCUCUCUCUUGGGGAAGGGCGUUACCAUGGAACCCGCAGCACCCCAGCCGCCUUGGAGCUCACACCGCCUCCGGCCAUAUCUCUGUCAGCCUCGUGCUCCUUCACCUCGAUCCGUCCAUCCCGCCGCCGGAUCAAGGUCGGAGCAGCCGGAUCCGGCUUCUCUUGCCUGGCUUGCCAUCGGGAGGAGGACGACAGAGGAGGGCCCGUUCACACGCCGUGUAGGCCACGCAGCUGGCUCCGCCCAGCUCGCCUGUGAAGCCAUCGUUCAUAUCACACUCAUCUGGCAGCUGGCUACAUCGGCUCUCUCUCUCUCUCUCUCUCUCUCUCUCUCUCUCUCUCUCAUGAGGUAGAGGAUGAAUGGGGCUCGCAUGUCUUCCUUUCUAUUUCCUUCGUCACUGAUUCUCUGUGUCCAUAUA
This is a non-coding RNA of Triticum urartu, 739 nucleotides long. NCBI's taxonomy places the organism in Eukaryota, Viridiplantae, Streptophyta, Magnoliopsida, Poales, Poaceae. The record is from RefSeq and is a predicted model, not a curated record.